UGGGGAAUAUUGCACAAUGGGCGCAAGCCUGAUGCAGCCAUGCCGCGUGUGUGAAGAAGGCCUUCGGGUUGUAAAGCACUUUCAGCGAGGAGGAAGGGUUCAGUGUUAAUAGCACUGUUCAUUGACGUUACUCGCAGAAGAAGCACCGGCUAACUCCGUGCCAGCAGCCGCGGUAAUACGGAGGGUGCAAGCGUUAAUCGGAAUUACUGGGCGUAAAGCGCACGCAGGCGGUUUGUUAAGUCAGAUGUGAAAUCCCCGCGCUUAACGUGGGAACCGCAUUUGAAACUGGCAAGCUAGAGUCUUGUAGAGGGGGGUAGAAUUCCAGGUGUAGCGGUGAAAUGCGUAGAGAUCUGGAGGAAUACCGGUGGCGAAGGCGGCCCCCUGGACAAAGACUGACG
RNAcentral lists this ribosomal RNA (398 nucleotides) under uncultured bacterium. RNAcentral describes it as "partial 16S ribosomal RNA". It matches the Rfam family "Bacterial small subunit ribosomal RNA", at positions 355 to 745 of the family's 1533-position model. The record is from RNAcentral.